Molecule: ribosomal RNA, 402 nt
Filed under: uncultured prokaryote
Description: bacterial SSU rRNA
Rfam family: Bacterial small subunit ribosomal RNA
Source: RNAcentral
UGGGGAAUAUUGGACAAUGGGGGAAACCCUGAUCCAGCCAUGCCGCGUGAGUGAUGAAGGCCUUCGGGUUGUAAAGCUCUUUUGGUGGGGACGAUGAUGACGGUACCCACAGAAUAAGCUCCGGCUAACUUCGUGCCAGCAGCCGCGGUAAUACGAAGGGAGCUAGCGUUGUUCGGAGUUACUGGGCGUAAAGGGCGCGUAGGCGGUUUCGUAAGUCAGGUGUGAAAGCCCUGGGCUCAACCCAGGAACUGCGCUUGAGACUGCGAGACUUGAAUUCGGGAGAGGUAAGUGGAAUUCCCAGUGUAGAGGGGAAAUUCGUAGAGAUUGGGAAGAACAUCCGUGGCGAAGGCGGCUUACUGGACCGACAUUGACGCUGAGGCGCGAAAGCGUGGGGAGCAAACA